AGUGAACGCUGGCGGUAGGCCUAACACAUGCAAGUCGAACGGCAGCACAGUAAGAGCUUGCUCUUACGGGUGGCGAGUGGCGGACGGGUGAGGAAUACAUCGGAAUCUACUUUUUCGUGGGGGAUGACGUAGGGAAACUUACGCUAAUACCGCAUACGACCUACGGGUGAAAGCAGGGGAUCUUCGGACCUUGCGCGAUUGAAUGAGCGGAUGUCGGAUUAGCUAGUUGGCGGGGUAAAGGCCCACCAAGGCGACGAUCCGUAGCUGGUCUGAGAGGAUGAUCAGCCACACUGGAACUGAGACACGGUCCAGACUCCUACGGGAGGCAGCAGUGGGGAAUAUUGGACAAUGGGCGCAAGCCUGAUCCAGCCAUACCGCGUGGGUGAAGAAGGCCUUCGGGUUGUAAAGCCCUUUUGUUGGGAAAGAAAAGCAGCAGGUUAAUACCCCGCUGUUCUGACGGUACCCAAAGAAUAAGCACCGGCUAACUUCGUG
RNAcentral lists this ribosomal RNA (492 nucleotides) under uncultured bacterium. Its description in RNAcentral is "partial 16S ribosomal RNA". It matches the Rfam family "Bacterial small subunit ribosomal RNA", at positions 29 to 507 of the family's 1533-position model. The record is from RNAcentral.